AGUAACAGAACAAUGGAUUAUGUCUAACACUUCCUCUCUAGCAAAUACCAUGAAGGUUGGGCGGAUGUUAACCCUCUAAUACCCAAAUUUUUGAUUUUGAUCUAAAUAUCAUUUUUCGUCAUGUUUAAACGAUUAAUUUAAUCGAUUCAAACAUGUGUUGGAAGGUGAUUCUUUUUAAUUCUCGAUUUCGUGAAUUUCAGUAUUUGAUUUUUCUAAUUUUUAUUUUUGAACAUCCCCACAAUUUUAUAAUUUUCCUGGAAGCCUAUUUGGGGUACGGAUUUUUUCAGAUGAAAACAUUUUGAGAUUAUAUGAUUAUUGUUGAAAUAUUUUUAUUUUAAAUUUUUUUCAUAGAAAAUUUUAUUUUCCGUGUAAUUUUAAGGAAAAUAAUUUUAGAGUGUAUUAGAUUCCCUUAAACUAUAAAACUACGAUAGAAUGACAUGAGAAAAAAUUAAAAUAUGUUAAUUGUAGCGAUUCAAUACAAAAUAAACAAUAACUUCUAGAAGGUAACUAUAACAUCAAUUUUUCAAUGAUUUUAAAAAAAUGUAAAAGCGAUUUAGAAUACACCAGAGGGCCCAUACAGCCGAGGCGGUAAACGCACGGGUAUUCAGCAUGACCAUGCUUCAUUGAAAAAUGUGCAGAAGCAUUUGGGCCUCCGGUUUGCCUACUGUUUAACCUAUCCCUGGAACAAGGCGUUUUUCCGGAUGUAUGGAAAUUGUCGUCAGUCAUUCCUAUACACAAAUCGGGCAGAAUUCAUAAUGUAGAAAACUACCGUCCAAUAUCGAUACUAUGUUGCUUAGCUAAAAUCCUGGAGCUUCUUAUUCAUGAUAGAAUGUAUUCAGCCGCAAAACCGAUAUUUUCCGAGUUUCAGCAUGGCUUUGUGAAAAAUCGCUCAACCGUAACGAACCUCAUGAGCUACACGAGCUUGUUGAAUACCAGCCUUGAAAAACAUUGCCAAGUAGAUAGCAUCUAUAUAGAUUUUGCGAAAGCUUUCGAUAAAGUACCGCACGCCUUAACGCUGGAAAAGCUUGAGAAAUAUCCCUCAGUGGCUCAUAGCUUGGUUACGUUCUUAUCUAACUGGUAGAUCCGCUUUCGUUAAACUGAACUCCGCAAAAUCUGACAUUUACACCACGCCUACCGGAGUGCCUCAGGGAAGCCAUCUGGGCCCGUUAAUAUUCAUCCUGUUUGUUAAUGACCUCUGUCACCGUAUAAGUUCUCACCGCUUUAUGUUCGCAGACGACUUGAAAAUGUAUAGGAUCAUCAGUUCCGUCGUCGACUGCAUUGCUCUGCAGCAGGACAUCGAUACCGUAGAUAGCUGGUGUGUAUCUAAUGGUAUGCUGUUGAACGCCGGGAAAUGCAAAAUAAUAAGCUUCCGAAGAUCUAGGCCUCUAAUUAGCUUUGAAUACACCAUAGACGGAGACAAAAUUGAACGUGUUGAAUCUAUAAAAGAUCUCGGAGUGAUUAUGGAUUCAAAGCUAAAGUUCAACGAACAUAUAUCUCUGACAACGGCUAAAGGUUUCUCGCUGCUAGGCUUCGUUUGUCGUAAUGCCGCCGAUUUUGAUGACGUGUACGCUCUCAAAACCUUGUAUAGCUGUUUUGUGCGUAGUGUACUCGAAUAUGCUGUGCCAGUUUGGGCACCAUAUCAUGAAACUCAGAUACAACGUUUAGAACGAGUUCAACGCAGUUUUUUGAGGUUUGCACUAAGAAGGCUUCCAUGGAAUGGCCCGCGGAGACUACCACAAUACGAACAACGAUGUCAGCUGAUACGACUGGAAACUCUUCGUGAAAGACGUAAGUUCCUACAGAUGAUGUUCGCAUUCGAUAUUUUAUGUGACCGUUUAGACUGUCCAGAUCUUCUACAUCAAGUCAAUUUCCAUGCUCCGGCUCGUCGUUUAUGUCACCGACAAUUGUUCUGGGUUGCUCGGCAUUCCACAGCGUAUGGUCAGCAUCACCCGUUUGAGAGAUGCGUUUGCUUAUUAAACAGUGUACCGUUGUUUGAUUUUAAUUUAACUAGAACGACUUUUAAAACUAGGAUUAGGCAAUUAAUUUAAGUAACCAAACAAUCUGUACAGCUAUAGCUGAAGAUGAAGUUAAUAAAAUAAAAAUAAAUGCUGAGGGUGACGGGUUCGAUUCCCGGUCGGUCCAGGAUCUUUUCGUAAAGGAAAUUUCCUUGACUUCCUUGGGCAUAGAGUAUCUUCGUGCCUGCCACACGAUAUAUGCAUGCAAAAUGGUCAUUGGCAGAGGAAGCUCUCAGUUAAUAACUGUGGAAGUGCUCAUAGAACACUAAGCUGAGAAGCAAGCUUUGUCCCAAUGAGGACGUUACGCCAAGAAGAGAGAGAGAAUACACCAAAAACCAUUUUGAGAUAUACAAAACAGUCCUAAAUAUCAGCCAAAAAUAUAAAAAUUUUGAUUUUUUACGAAACAAAUAUUAUAAAAAUGCUCAAACUAUACCCCGUCUAAAGGCGGGGUUGGGUAUUAGAGGGUUAAGUAAUCCAAGAUCUAUACGACUUGAGAACUCCAUCAAACUGGAGCCUCUCAAGUCAAUGUCUGAGCUGAUGAAGAUGAUAUGAUGAGCAAGAGCAUUCCUGCCAACAAUUAGCGGAAGGCCUUUUAAACUGCAGUUUGCGAUUACUUGUUUCGUAGGAGCAUUCGUAGAAGAUAGUUCAUCAUGCGCUAUUUAAACUGAACAACAGACGUAUUUCCUGUUGAGGAUUUCGACAGAUACAUCAACAAUGAUAACACAUACAGGGUGUUAGGUUCCUGAGUGCAAACUUUUUAAAGUGUGAUAGAGAACCAUAAAUGAUGAAAAAAAAUGUUCUACGCAUAUGGUCAAAUCUCACCCGUUACGUAGUUAUUGAACUUCCCAUGUUUUUAACUCUUAUUGCCUUAACUGGCUAUAACUUGAAAAUGGUCAAUGUUAUCGCAGUUUUUUACCCUUAUUCGAAAGAUUAUUGAAUUUUCUAUCAAAUAGCACCUUUGAAUCGAUUGGUUUAGUUAAAUAACUAAGUUUUCUAGAGCAAAUAGCUCAAAAGUAGCGUGUUUUAUUUUGUUUUCGUCAAUUAUCUUUGAAAAAUGUGUAAUAAUUUAAGAUUAUUUCUUAGACAAAGUUGUGGCCCCUGUUUCACUCUACAAUUCGUUCUCUGACAUCAAACUUCUAUCUCUUAUCGUUUUUUUUGCAAUUUCGAUUUAAAUAUCGCAUUUCAGAUCAUAAAUUUGCAACUGUCAUGGUUAGCACUUUUUUGAGCACUGUGCCGCACAUAAUCAAAAUCAAAAUCAAUAAUAAUAAAAAAUAUGGGAAGUUCAAUAACUACGCAACGGUUGAGUUUUGACCAUGUGCGUAGAACAAUUUGUAUCACCAUUUAGGGUCCUCUAUCACCCUUUAAAAAGUUUGCACUCAUGAACCUAACACCCUGUAUAUCUCUGGUGGUUAUUUCAAACACGAGUGUAGCAACAAUUGCGUUGUUGGCAAGGACACAUGCUCGAGGCAUGGCACGUAAGGUAGGUAUUUCAUUUCCACUGAAAGUAGCAAACACCGGGUUUACAAAUUUUCCUAGAUAGAAACUCCCCUAACGAAAGCAAGAUUCUGGUGCUAAAGCCACCUGUGCUGUCGCAUAUUGGCAUCUAGGAUGGGACGUAAUAAAUCAAACGCCCACACGAAGAUGUUCCCACGGCUCUUGUUCCUCUUCUAGUCCUAUUGGGGUCCAUUAUAAUAAGUUGCUGUUAUCUAAUAUCCAAGUGUGCGGGUCCGUUAGAGCAUAUGCUCAGAAGAGGAUCAGAUGUCAGCCGCUCUCGAGGAGAAGAGCAACUGACGAAAAACUGCAAGUGUCGGGGCUCGGAUUCAAUCCAUGACCAUCCACAUAUGAAAGAAACGUGUGAGCACUACACCAGAAACCUCGGCUUGGAUGAGAAUUGACUGAGUUAUAGCAAAAAAUCGACACGUGCAAAAAAUAAAAUCGGGAUGAAAAUUCUCGAUCGAGUCAAAUUACAGUCACUAGUCUGGUGGACAGAACUAUCAGAACCAAUUGAAAUUGACAUUUCGAGUGAGCCUGAAUAUGAGGGGAUUAUUGUAUUCGUAAAGAUAAUAAAUUUAUGUUUUAAAAAUACAAAGUCUGCUGAAAGCUUGAACUUUUUAUAGUGUUGGCAGUAUAUACUUCAGUUGCCAGUUCUUUAGAUUUUUUAUUAGCCAGACUGUACAUAUAGUGACUGUAAGUCAAACCAGAUAUUUGAGCAUUGAUUCGUACGUUUGGUCAAAUGUUUGAGCAUCUUUAGUAAAAUUUAAUCAGCAUGAAACUAUCACUAGAAAUAUACCUAUGAUGUAAAAUUACCUAAAUGAAAUUCCACAUGCCGUGUACUGACCACACACAGCCAAUCAGCUGUGCACAAAACAACCGGCAAACAAUAAACAAACAAAAAUUUACGUGGCACGCUCACUUCUCAACACCUUGCCCAGCUCUGCCACCAAACGGUGCAAUAAUUCACGCACUACCAUUGCGGGCUGGUUGGAAACAGCCCGAGGGGAACAUUCGAAGCUCGAUCCAAUCGACAAAAUGGUGCAAUGCGUUUUAUGAUUCGACGAAGGUAGGUAUGUACCUCCAACAGCCGCACUUCUUGGCAGUGACCAAAUUGGGUGGCUGUUGAUGGGCUCCAGCAGAAAUGGAUGGGGCGCAUAUUUUCAAUGCCAACUCGUGUUUGCCUGAUUAGCACGUGUGGGGCCACAUAUUCGGAGCUGGACUGGACAUGUGUUUAUGGGCGUGUAAAUCGUGAGAAGUGGGUCUCGGUGCACUGCGCUGGCUGGUGCGCAUUACAUUAUGAAUUGCAUCGUUUCGCUCUGUGGUCAGCUGAUUCGCGAAGAAAUCAGAGUAAUUCAAAAACACAAAGUGUUAAAUUGCAAUAGGCUAUUUGAAGAUGAUAAACAUGGAGGUAAAAAUCGGCUAUGCGUAAGUUAAAUAGGCGCAUUGUGUUUGAAUCAUGCAUCCGUUGAUUUGAGAGCUUAAUCUGAUAUGCUGAAAAACUUUGUCGAAGAUCACGAAAUAAUCUAAAAAGUUAUACCGUAGUGACAUAAACCCUUAAAUGUUAUUGAAAGCCAGGUAUAUCUUAUUAUUUCGUAAAAUUUAGGUACUUAAUUUCUGUUGUCUAUUUGUUCAAGCUUUGAAACCACUGAAUACAAUAAUCGACAAUCAAUUUACAAUGUCAAAUCCUUGGUCAAAUCACACCCUCUAAAACUAAAGCUCCGCGCACGCCACCAAUGAAAAGUUCAACGAACGGACUCCACAGCUAUACGCCAUCAGACGAUCGCCGAUUUCAUUGGCAUUGCACAGCACGGGCUGUGACAUAAUCUAACAAUCCAUUUAUUCCACCACGUUUGCAGCUCGUUUUCCCUUGGCAUCCUGUCCGCUUUCAGAUUUGCACCGCUACCCCUUAUAAGCCAGUCUACAAGUUCCCUUGAGUCUUGGUUCGUCACUGCACGGAAUGUGAUUUCAGUGUCACCUGACAGACGCAGUGACCGGCUGGGCUGAGCAUUCGCCUGAAGGCAGGUGGUGCCGCCAAUGUGGCAUGCGUGAAAACAAAACAAAAACCCACUGACACAGUUUGGAGCGGAAACAUUUCGUCUGAUCACCAACGCCCAAUAAUGUAAAAGAAGGAAUAGACGUGGAAAAAAGAUGCAUUACACACUUAUUUAAGAAUUACGAGUUCGGUAACUAUUUUUACUGGGCUCGAACUGUUAAACAAUGAUUUGGCGACAAAUCAGCAUUUUUGUUUGAAAAGAUACCGAACUUCAGUAAUGUGUUCUACAUUUUACUGAGUUCGGUUAUUUGAGUCGCUUGUUACCCGGUAAUUUUCAUAUUACACCGAAAAGGGGGAAAAAGUCAGUGAAAUCAACUACCGAUUUUCAGUCAUCAUUGCUCCUGUACCGAGUUUUCGCCAAUGUAAACGAAAACAAACUGCUGCUCUCACGGGCAGCUGUCAAACAUCCAUUCAUCAUCAUUUUCCAGGAGCAGGAGCAGCAAAAUUGUUAUCGAACUCAAUUUUGCCGUCCAUAGUAGCAGAAGACUUGAUCUUUUCAUCAUCCCGUCAACUCACAGGUAAGGAAUACAGAUUCUGCGACGAAUUAAUGGAGAAGGUUAUUAUGCAGGACUAGAUCAGGGAAGAUACUGCAAUGUGAGGCUUCUCCCGUGUGGUUCAAAGAUGGAUUUCCCUACACACUUUAGCACCAGCAGCAUCGCGGAUCUAGUUUUGUUCAACCACUUUCGUAAAUCCGUCGCAGAUUCUGUACUGUCCUCCCAAGAGCUGACAAAGAUUUAAAAAGACGGUCAUUUUGCCGGCAUUCAUGACUAUCCGCAAUGUACCUUUGCAAAAAUGAUUAAAUAACACAAAAUGCGAGGGAGUGCGAGGUACGGGCAAGUAUUGUGAAACUGGGAAACUCGGUAGUCAGCUGUAAACAAAUGAAUAACUGAGAGUCAGUAAAUUUCCCCAACAAAAAUUACUGACUAGCUCAGUUAUUAUUUGACAGAUGAUCAACUUUUCAAUUUACAUACUCUUCGGUAAUUCAAAAAAAUACCGAAUAGUCAGCAGUUCAAAAACCCAGUAAAAUUUUACCGAAGUCGGUAAUCUAAACUAGCUGUGUAGCUUUAUUUGUUUGACUUUAUGUGGUUACUGACCUUCACAGCGAAAGUAGAAUGUCUCAAGACUUUACAACAGAUAAAUGGUGUUGAGAUGGGCUUCUAGUUUACCUGAAAUGGUUGUUGUGCGAAAAAAACGCCACAUAAUUGAGCAGAUUAGAAUUCAAAUUAUCAUCAAUCAUUUCAUUUUGAACUUUUAUGGGUCACCAGCUAGCAGCAAUUAGGAAAUUGAGUAUUUUUGAAUGCCCCCAAGUGGGGUCUGAAAAUUUUUGGCAGAUACCUGAGCACACUCAUAAUGAAACUCUUGCCACGUAAGUGAUAAGUUUUUAGCAGAAAUAUUAUUUUUAAUUUAUUUUAUCUGUAUGAACGAGAUUUUUAACUCUAGCUAGUUCAUCUUUACUUCUCUUCAGAAGGAAGAACUCACAUUUUGCGAGUUUGUCGGAAGUGGGAUUCGAUCACAGGUCCUCGGCGUGACAGUCACGUGUUUCAACCACCACACCAGGUCCACUCCUCUUUUUAGCAGAUUCCUUACGAGAACCUCGAAAAACUUUUGCGUGAUGAUGUUAUUUUUGUAGUUUUUAAAAGAUGUUUUACCAUUUCCGUUUCCGAAGAAAUCUCUGCAAAAAAUACAUACAAAAUCAUUGGAAGCUUCGCUUUGAGAUCUUUUGCAUACUUUUGACAAGGUACUUGGUAAAUUUCUUCUUGAUUUUCUCUAACCUACUCAUCAGAUCGGAAAAGAUUCCUUUGAAAUCCUUAACCCAUUUUUAGAAUCUACACACUUAUUUUAGAUUUAGAAGUUCGGUAUUUUUUUCAACUGGGCUCGAACUGUAAACCACUCAUUUGGCGACAACCCGGGAGCUACUUGACAGCUGCCGAACAACGUCAGCGUACCUAAAAAAUUUGGUCCGGGUGGUACUGUCAGAUUCAAAGCGGCAAGUGCUACUUUUGAUAAGGACGAAAACCGACAAUAACAAACCGAACAAAAAAUAUUAAAACAUUAAACAUUUGUUGUUUCCGCUUUUUUGUGGUAGGUAAAUGCAAAUUAAGUGCGGCAUGAUGAAUUUGUUUACUAGAAGCGAAAAUUAUAUCUAUAAAACAAGUAAAGGCAAAAUAGUCGGCUUUUAUAAAAUUAAUAAGAAACUCAUGUUUUCUUCUAGCGCGGUUAUUAAGCACCAGCAAGUAAUAAAUUAGGUUACUUAUGCUAACAUUUUACAGCUACAUAUCUGGUGGCCAAUCCAAAAUGGAAGUUAAAAAUAAUCAUUUUCAGAUUUUUUUUUUCGAGUUUGAUCUUCGGCUUGGUCUAGCAUGCACAGUCACCAAUUAAUAUGGAAGACCGUUUAAACAUGUGUUUUUAUUAUAUUUUUUACAACAACAAAAAGAAAAAUCAAAAUAAUUUCAAUUUAAUGAA
This is a long non-coding RNA of Aedes albopictus (Asian tiger mosquito), 8025 nucleotides long. RefSeq lists it as uncharacterized. The record is from RefSeq and is a predicted model, not a curated record. The transcript is spliced from 2 exons. Lineage: Eukaryota; Metazoa; Arthropoda; Insecta; Diptera; Culicidae.